GGUUAAGCGACUAAGCGUACACGGUGGAUGCCCUGGCAGUCAGAGGCGAUGAAGGACGUGCUAAUCUGCGAAAAGCGCCGGCGAGGUGAUAUGAACCUUUGACCCGGCGAUGUCCGAAUGGGGAAACCCAGUGCAAUUCGUUGCACUAUCGUUAACUGAAUACAUAGGUUAACGAGGCGAACCGGGGGAACUGAAACAUCUAAGUACCCCGAGGAAAAGAAAUCAACCGAGAUUCCCCCAGUAGCGGCGAGCGAACGGGGAGCAGCCCGGAGUCUGAAUCAGCUUGUGUGUUAGUGGAACGGUCUGGAAAGUCCGACGGUACAGGGUGAUAGUCCCGUACACGAAAGCACACAUGCUGUGAACUCGAAGAGUAGGGCGGGACACGUGGUAUCCUGUCUGAAUAUGGGGGGACCAUCCUCCAAGGCUAAAUACUCCUGACUGACCGAUAGUGAACCAGUACCGUGAGGGAAAGGCGAAAAGAACCCCGGCGAGGGGAGUGAAAAAGAACCUGAAACCGU
RNAcentral lists this ribosomal RNA (518 nucleotides) under Enterobacter hormaechei. RNAcentral describes it as "partial 23S ribosomal RNA". It matches the Rfam family "Bacterial large subunit ribosomal RNA", at positions 1 to 559 of the family's 2925-position model. The record is from RNAcentral. Lineage: Bacteria; Pseudomonadati; Pseudomonadota; Gammaproteobacteria; Enterobacterales; Enterobacteriaceae.